ACAGCAGCCGCCGCGGUAAUACGUAGGGUGCAAGCGUUAAUCGGAAUUACUGGGCGUAAAGCGCGCGCAGGCGGUUAUAUAAGUCAGAUGUGAAAUCCCCGGGCUCAACCUGGGAACUGCAUUUGAGACUGUAUGGCUAGAGUGUGUCAGAGGGGGGUAGAAUUCCACGUGUAGCAGUGAAAUGCGUAGAUAUGUGGAGGAAUACCGAUGGCGAAGGCAGCCCCCUGGGAUAACACUGACGCUCAUGCACGAAAGCGUGGGGAGCAAACAGGAUUAGAUACCCCAGUAGUCCCUGUCUCUUAUAC
Molecule: ribosomal RNA, 305 nt
Filed under: uncultured bacterium
Lineage: Bacteria
Description: partial 16S ribosomal RNA
Rfam family: Bacterial small subunit ribosomal RNA
Source: RNAcentral